UUUCCGUAGGUGAACCUGCGGAAGGAUCAUUACAGAGUUCAUGCCCUCACGGGUAGAUCUCCCACCCUUGAAUAUUUAUACCUUAGUUGCUUUGGCAGGCCGUGGAAACACCAUGGGCUCCGGCUUAUGCGUGCCUGCCAGAGGAAACAAACUCUGUUUUUAGUGGUGUCUGAGUACUAUAUAAUAGUUAAAACUUUCAACAACGGAUCUCUUGGUUCUG
RNAcentral lists this unclassified non-coding RNA (220 nucleotides) under plant metagenome. RNAcentral describes it as "partial contains small subunit ribosomal RNA, internal transcribed spacer 1, and 5.8S ribosomal RNA". The record is from RNAcentral.